Molecule: unclassified non-coding RNA, 294 nt
Filed under: rhizosphere metagenome
Description: partial ribosomal RNA internal transcribed spacer region
Source: RNAcentral
GUAGGUGAACCUGCGGAAGGAUCAUUAUUGAAUGAAUUUGGUGUGGUUGUCGCUGGCCUUCUUGGAGGCAUGUGCACACCUACCAUCCUCAUCUCUCCACCUGUGCACCUCUUGUAGAUUUGGAAUUGAUUAUCCGAGGCAACUCGGUCGUGAGGACUGCUAGCACUUAGCCGGCUUUCUUUGCAAUUCCAGGUCUAUGUUUUUCAUAUACCCCAUUGUAUGUAACAGAAUGUAUCAUUGGGCCUUGUGCCUAUAAACCUUAUACAACUUUCAGCAACGGAUCUCUUGGCUCUC